UCUUUCAUGAUUCGGUGGGUGGUGGUGCAUGGCCGUUCUUAGUUGGUGGAGCGAUUUGUCUGGUUAAUUCCGAUAACGAACGAGACUCUGGCCUACUAACUAGACGUCGGGUCCUUUAUGGGUCCGGCGACGCUUCUUAGAGGGACGGGCGGCUUUUAGCCGCACGAGAAUGAGCAAUAACAGGUCUGUGAUGCCCUUAGAUGUUCUGGGCUGCACGCGCGCUACACUGAAGAAAUCAGCAUGUGUUCCUACUCCGAAAGGAGCGGGAAACCCGUUGAACCUUCUUCGUGAUGGGGAUUGGGGAUUGCAAUUAUUUCCCAUGAACGAGGAAUUCCCAGUAGGUGCGAGUCAUCAGCUCGCGCCGAUUACGUCCCUGCCCUUUGUACACACCGCCCGUCGCUACUACCGAUCGAGUGAUUUAGUGAGGACUUCGGACUGGUCUUCGAGGUGGCUUUCGGGUCGUUUCGGAGUACCGGAAAGAUGCCCAAACUUGAUUACUUAGAGGAAGUAAAAGUCGUAACAAGGUUUCCGUAGGUGAACCUGCGGAAGG
Molecule: ribosomal RNA, 550 nt
Filed under: Willemia denisi
Lineage: Eukaryota; Metazoa; Arthropoda; Collembola; Poduromorpha; Hypogastruridae
Description: SSU rRNA
Rfam family: Eukaryotic small subunit ribosomal RNA
Source: RNAcentral